This 241-nucleotide unclassified non-coding RNA is filed under the name Borreliella burgdorferi (Lyme disease spirochete). Its description in RNAcentral is "partial 5S-23S ribosomal RNA intergenic spacer region". Lineage: Bacteria; Pseudomonadati; Spirochaetota; Spirochaetia; Spirochaetales; Borreliaceae. The record is from RNAcentral.
GUUCGCGGGAGAGUAGGUUAUUGCCAGGGUUUUUAUUUUAUACUUUAAACUUUGAUUUUAUUUUUAUGUUUUUUAAAUAUUGGUGUUUUUGAAUGUGUUGUUUAAAUAACAUAAAAAAUAAAAUAUAUAUUGACAUGUAUUAAACAAAGAUAUAUAUUAUUUUAUGUUGUAUAAAUAAAUUGGCAAAAUAGAGAUGGAAGAUAAAAAUAUGGUCAAAGUAAUAAGAGUCUAUGGUGAAUGC